AACGAACGCUGGCGGCAGGCCUAACACAUGCAAGUCGAGCGAGGACUUCGGUUCUAGCGGCGGACGGGUGAGUAACGCGUGGGAAUGUGCCCUUCUCUACGGAAUAGCCCUGGGAAACUGGGAGUAAUACCGUAUACGCCCUAUUGGGGAAAGAUUUAUCGGAGAAGGAUCAGCCCGCGUUGGAUUAGGUAGUUGGUGGGGUAAUGGCCUACCAAGCCGACGAUCCAUAGGUGGUUUGAGAGGAUGAUCAGCCACACUGGGGCUGAGACACGGCCCAGACUCCUACGGGAGGCAGCAGUGGGGAAUCUUAGACAAUGGGGGCAACCCUGAUCUAGCCAUGCCGCGUGAGUGAUGAAGGCCUUAGGGUUGUAAAGCUCUUUCAGCUGGGAAGAUAAUGACGGUACCAGCAGAAGAAGCCCCGGCUAACUCCGUG
This 433-nucleotide ribosomal RNA is filed under the name uncultured bacterium. RNAcentral describes it as "partial 16S ribosomal RNA". It matches the Rfam family "Bacterial small subunit ribosomal RNA", at positions 29 to 507 of the family's 1533-position model. The record is from RNAcentral.